GUUCUUUUGCUGUUUGUAAUAAAUCUUGCUGCAGCUAACUUUUUGGGUCUGCGCCGCUUUUAUGAGCUGUAAUACUCACCGCGAAGGUCUGCAGCUUCACUCCUGAGGCCAGCAAGACCAUGAACCCACCGGAAGGAACGAAACUCCAGACGUGCAGCCUUUAAGAGCUGUAACACUCACCGUGAAGGUCUGCAGCUUCGCUCCUGAAGUCAGCGAGACCACGAAACCACCAGAAGGAACAAACUCCAGACACACCAUCUUUAAGAACUGUAACACUCACCGCGGGGGUCUGCUGCUUCAUUCUUGAAGUCAGUGAGACGAAGAAGCCACCAAUUCCGGACGCACUACAACAUGAAUGAAUCUCAAAAAUAUUAUGUUCCUUGAGAAAGAGGAGUCAAAUCCAAAAAGGACAUUAGUUGAGACUCUGAAGACCAUCCCUAUUUUGGGAAAGCUCAAGAUGGGUGGCAGCAGGACCCUGGUUCCCAUUAAGGAGGCCUGAGUUUCCAGCUGCUCUGCUCCCAUUGCAGCAAGGCAAUGGACAUUUGAAUAAGGGAAUCAAGAACCCUGCACAGCACUCCUGUUCUGGGGCCCAGGACAUUGACUACAAAGCAUUCUUCUCCAGCUAGAGAGAAAACAAGAGGAGUAGAACAAACAAAAGACCAGGAUUCACAAAACCUUCCAUGUCCGAGUUACUAACCAACUGAUUGGAGGCCCCCACUCAUUCACUUAUUCAUUCAUUCUUCUAAGAACAGAUUUAUUAGUUAGCUAAUGCUGAAAGACAACAACCAUGGAAAUCUCAAUGUAUGUGGUGUGCUGACCUGGACAUAUUCUUCCCCUUGGCAUGGCAGAAGGACAAGAGAUCAAGUGGAAAUGUACAAGACCUGUAAAGGCUUGGAAUUAGCAGCACCUCACUUCUACCUUGACCAAAGAAGGUCACAUGGCCCACCCAAAGCCAAGGGUGGGGAAAUAGAGUCGAAUAAAGGAAGGGGUGAAUAUUUCCG
Molecule: long non-coding RNA, 1001 nt
Filed under: Homo sapiens (human)
Lineage: Eukaryota; Metazoa; Chordata; Mammalia; Primates; Hominidae
Description: HSALNT0272640
Source: RNAcentral